This 67-nucleotide transfer RNA is filed under the name Ophiosteira antarctica. RNAcentral describes it as "tRNA-Asp". Lineage: Eukaryota; Metazoa; Echinodermata; Ophiuroidea; Amphilepidida; Ophiuridae. The record is from RNAcentral.
AGAAGUUUAGUUAAAAAAUAACAUUGGUCUGUCAGUUCAACAUUAUAAAUAAAAUUUAUAACUUCUC